This is a non-coding RNA of Acanthosepion pharaonis, 110 nucleotides long. Lineage: Eukaryota; Metazoa; Mollusca; Cephalopoda; Sepiida; Sepiidae. The record is from the annotation of a GenBank genome assembly.
GGCCAUAUCACGUUAAAAUACCGGUUCCCGUAUGAUCACCGAAGUUAAGCAACGUCGAGCCUGGACAGUAUCUAGAUAGGUGACCUAUUCGAAAUAUCAGAUGCUGUAAG